CAGUGGCGAACGGGUGAGUAACACGUGAGCAACCUGCCCCGGACUCUGGGAUAAGCGCUGGAAACGGCGUCUAAUACUGGAUACGAGACGUGAUCGCAUGGUCAACGUUUGGAAAGAUUUUUCGGUCUGGGAUGGGCUCGCGGCCUAUCAGCUUGUUGGUGAGGUAAUGGCUCACCAAGGCGUCGACGGGUAGCCGGCCUGAGAGGGUGACCGGCCACACUGGGACUGAGACACGGCCCAGACUCCUACGGGAGGCAGCAGUGGGGAAUAUUGCACAAUGGGCGGAAGCCUGAUGCAGCAACGCCGCGUGAGGGACGACGGCCUUCGGGUUGUAAACCUCUUUUAGCAGGGAAGAAGCGAAAGUGACGGUACCUGCAGAAAAAGCGCCGGCUAACUACGUGCCAGCAGCCGCGGUAAUACGUAGGGCGCAAGCGUUAUCCGGAAUUAUUGGGCGUAAAGAGCUCGUAGGCGGUCUGUCGCGUCUGCUGUGAAAACCCGAGGCUCAACCUCGGGCCUGCAGUGGGUACGGGCAGACUAGAGUGCGGUAGGGGAGAUUGGAAUUCCUGGUGUAGCGGUGGAAUGCGCAGAUAUCAGGAGGAACACCGAUGGCGAAGGCAGAUCUCUGGGCCGUAACUGACGCUGAGGAGCGAAAGGGUGGGGAGCAAACAGGCUUAGAUACCCUGGUAGUCCACCCCGUAAACGUUGGGAACUAGUUGUGGGGUCCUUUCCACGGAUUCCGUGACGCAGCUAACGCAUUAAGUUCCCCGCCUGGGGAGUACGGCCGCAAGGCUAAAACUCAAAGGAAUUGACGGGGACCCGCACAAGCGGCGGAGCAUGCGGAUUAAUUCGAUGCAACGCGAAGAACCUUACCAAGGCUUGACAUACACGAGAACGCUGCAGAAAUGUAGAACUCUUUGGACACUCGUGAACAGGUGGUGCAUGGUUGUCGUCAGCUCGUGUCGUGAGAUGUUGGGUUAAGUCCCGCAACGAGCGCAACCCUCGUUCUAUGUUGCCAGCACGUAAUGGUGGGAACUCAUGGGAUACUGCCGGGGUCAACUCGGAGGAAGGUGGGGAUGACGUCAAAUCAUCAUGCCCCUUAUGUCUUGGGCUUCACGCAUGCUACAAUGGCCGGUACAAAGGGCUGCAAUACCGUGAGGUGGAGCGAAUCCCAAAAAGCCGGUCCCAGUUCGGAUUGAGGUCUGCAACUCGACCUCAUGAAGUCGGAGUCGCUAGUAAUCGCAGAUCAGCAACGCUGCGGUGAAUACGUUCCCGGGUCUUGUACACACCGCCCGUCAAGUCAUGAAAGU
This 1307-nucleotide ribosomal RNA is filed under the name Microbacterium laevaniformans. RNAcentral describes it as "bacterial SSU rRNA". It matches the Rfam family "Bacterial small subunit ribosomal RNA", at positions 93 to 1411 of the family's 1533-position model. Lineage: Bacteria; Bacillati; Actinomycetota; Actinomycetes; Micrococcales; Microbacteriaceae. The record is from RNAcentral.